CAGUCGCCACGGUAAUACGUAGGUGGCAAGCGUUGUCCGGAAUUAUUGGGCGUAAAGGGCUCGCAGGCGGUUUCUUAAGUCUGAUGUGAAAGCCCCCGGCUCAACCGGGGAGGGUCAUUGGAAACUGGGAAACUUGAGUGCAGAAGAGGAGAGUGGAAUUCCACGUGUAGCGGUGAAAUGCGUAGAGAUGUGGAGGAACACCAGUGGCGAAGGCGACUCUCUGGUCUGUAACUGACGCUGGGGAGCGAAAGCGUGGGGAGCGAACAGGAUUAGAUACCCGCGUAGUCCCUGUCUCUUAUAC
Molecule: ribosomal RNA, 301 nt
Filed under: uncultured bacterium
Lineage: Bacteria
Description: partial 16S ribosomal RNA
Rfam family: Bacterial small subunit ribosomal RNA
Source: RNAcentral